UGCUGGGCUUUAACUGACGCUGAGGCACGAAAGCAUGGGUAGCAAACAGGAUUAGAUACCCUGGUAGUCCAUGCCGUAAACGAUGAUUACUAGGUGUGGGUGGUCUGACCCCAUCCGUGCCGGAGUUAACACAAUAAGUAAUCCACCUGGGGAGUACGGCCGCAAGGUUGAAACUCAAAGGAAUUGACGGGGGCCCGCACAAGCAGUGGAGUAUGUGGUUUAAUUCGAAGCAACGCGAAGAACCUUACCAGGUCUUGACAUCCAACUAACGAAGCAGAGAUGCAUUAGGUGUCCUUCGGGGAAAGUUGAGACAGGUGGUGCAUGGUUGUCGUCAGCUCGUGUCGUGAGAUGUUGGGUUAAGUCCCGCAACGAGCGCAACCCUUGUCCUAUGUUGCCAGCGGUUCGGCCGGGAACUCAUGGGAGACUGCCGUGGUCAACACGGAGGAAGGUGGGGAUGACGUCAAAUCAUCAUGCCCCUUAUGUCUUGGGCUUCACGCAUGCUACAAUGGCCGGUACAGAGGGCUGCGAUACCGCGAGGUGGAGCGAAUCCCUUAAAGCCGGUCUCAGUUCGGAUUGCAGGCUGAAACUCGCCUGCAUGAAGCCGGAGUUGCUAGUAAUCGCAAAUCAGAAUGUUGCGGUGAAUACGUUCCCGGGCCUUGUACACAUUACCCGUCACCCCAUGAGGGUUGGCAACACCCGAAGUCCGUGAGGUAACCGUAAGGAGCCAGCGGCCGAAGGUGGGGUUAAUGAUUGGGGUGAAGUCGUAACAAGGUAA
RNAcentral lists this ribosomal RNA (775 nucleotides) under uncultured bacterium. RNAcentral describes it as "bacterial SSU rRNA". It matches the Rfam family "Bacterial small subunit ribosomal RNA", at positions 727 to 1499 of the family's 1533-position model. The record is from RNAcentral.